Bradysia coprophila is the source of this 274-nucleotide long non-coding RNA. The record is from RefSeq and is a predicted model, not a curated record. NCBI's taxonomy places the organism in Eukaryota, Metazoa, Arthropoda, Insecta, Diptera, Sciaridae.
GUGGUUGAUAAUAAGGGACUGAUUGUUAAGAAUCGUCCAAAUGGUGGUUUAAAUGAACAUUUUACGUCAUUUGCUCAUGAACAUGAUCCUGCUGAUACUUUGGCUGAGGCCGUCAAACAAAUUAAACCUACAAUUUUAGUUGGCACUGCAGCUAUUGGAGGUGCAUUUACACCAGAUAUUUUGAAGCGAAUGGCUGAAUUCAACGACAGACCAAUAAUCUUCGCUCUUUCAAAUUUAACAAUUAAAGCUGAAUGCACCGCCGAAGAUGCUUACA